AACCACUUCACCGUUCCCUUGCGUCUGUCUCCACCACUCAUGUUCACGUCUCCUCCUCCGCUCAUUCUGAUCAAAAUCUCUCCGACGAACUAAAAGUAAAUCACCGAUCAGAUCUCUCUCUCUCUCCUUU
Molecule: small RNA, 130 nt
Filed under: Arabidopsis thaliana (thale cress)
Lineage: Eukaryota; Viridiplantae; Streptophyta; Magnoliopsida; Brassicales; Brassicaceae
Description: ATSL107080
Source: RNAcentral